GAAAUGCGAUAAGUAAUGUGAAUUGCAGAAUUCAGUGAAUCAUCGAAUCUUUGAACGCACAUUGCGCCCGCCAGUAUUCUGGCGGGCAUGCCUGUCCGAGCGUCAUUUCAACCAUCAAGCCCCCGGGCUUGUGUUGGGGACCUGCGGCUGCCCGCAGGCCCUGAAAACCAGUGGCGGGCUCGCUGUCACACCGAGCGUAGUAGCAAUCACCUCGCUCAGGGCGUGCUGCGGGUUCCCGCCGUUAAACAGCCUUACAAAACCCAAGGUUGACCUCGGAUCAGGUAGGAAGACCCGCUGAACUUAAGC
RNAcentral lists this unclassified non-coding RNA (306 nucleotides) under plant metagenome. Its description in RNAcentral is "partial contains 5.8S ribosomal RNA, internal transcribed spacer 2, and large subunit ribosomal RNA". The stretch from base 1 to 105 matches the Rfam family "5.8S ribosomal RNA", at positions 50 to 154 of the family's 154-position model. The record is from RNAcentral.